GGUGCUGUUUUGGAGUGGAUAAUUCCAUAGUGCUGUAGCAUGAAGCCAUAUGCCCCCGAGAGUGGAGAAACGGUUCAAAUCCAAACCCCUCAUUCUCACCAAUGUCUUCAUGGAUGGUCCAUCAUUCUAAAUAAGGUGAUACCAGGAUACACUGUACUUACAGAUGAGGGUGUAUGUUGGUAUUUAAAACUCGUUUAAUGUUUUGAGAUCUUUCUGGGAAGUUCCUGAAAUAAGAUAACAUCUAUGCUAAACUCCUCGGUACACAUAGCUAUCUUGAAUGGCUAGCCUUAUACUUGCCAAGAAACGACUUGUACUAUGAAGGGACUAAGCUGCAGAAAUCUUAACUACGUCAAAGCAUUGUUAAAGGGGAAAUCAUGACUUUUCUGCCUAGAAGAUGUAGACAUGUUGCAGCCAGGCACUGUUGGAUUAAGAAAAUUAAAUUUAAUUACCACAAUGGUUUCACCCCGGGUCAGUCACAUCCCAAGCCAGCUGUUUUGUGCCUUGCUACAAGCUCUCAGCAAGAUUUUCUUUGCCUAGUGCUCUAAAGACAUUCCAGCCACUUCGCUUCUGAGCGAUUUAACUAGCUAGAGGUUGGUCUUCUUCCCAAGAGAGCUCUUACUAGAAAAUCUUUUGUGUCCUUAAUAGAAGUUCAGGCAUUUUAAUGAAGCCCAAAUCAAAGUGUUUCUUCCAGGCAGUCGGUGCUUCAAAGAGUUGUAUGUGCAACGGUCUUAGCACAGAUGUUCUGCACAUGGAUGGUGGAAAGACUUGAAAAGACAACCCUGUGACGGAGAACUGCUUGUGGUUUGCAGACAGGAGGCUGAACAUGUUCCCUUCAUGUGACCAUUUGAACUGCAGUGGAGCAGGGCGAAUGGAGCAGACAGCUGCUUCACAUACACUCACCCCUCAGAGGCAGUGGACAGAGCAUUGCUCAUUGCUGCUAAGUCCUGCUGUAAGUUGCUCUUUGGCACCCUGGAACACCUUGACAAGUCAUCGACUUCGUUCAGAAAGUGCUGAACAAAUGUGGCAGUCCUUAUCAUCACAUGGGGUUGUGUGAUGGGCCCAGGAGGGCAACUCUGUAGAGGCUCCCUACACCUGGAAAGGCCUAGAUGCAGGUGUCGAGGAGGCAUCCGCACUCUGCUCUGAGUUAUUUUCCCUCCUUCCCUUCUACUGUUGCUUCGUCCUUCUUCGCACUUGCCCCCUCUGCCCUUCAGUCCACAAGACAAACAGCACCACCCAUGGCUUAGUCCAGAAGCUUCCCUGCUAGAAAAGCGAGACAAGUUUCUCUCUUUGUCUCCCCUCCCCAUUUAACUCAUUGAGAACAGUUUUGAUUGGUCAGGCUCCUCCAAGGAUAGGUAGCAAACUGGAGCUGGGAAGGGAGUAGAGGGCUACCCUGGUUUUUCUAGGACCAACACAAGCAGACACACUUAAGGCGUGUCCUUGGAGGUGGGGAAGACAGGCUAUGAAAGCGCUCACUUGCCACCUUACCCUGUUUUCUUUAGGAGGUUGGUGACCCUGAAAUAGUGCCAGGGAAUGUCAUUGUUUUCUAUGUACAUGGCAGCCAAUGUUACCUUACUUCUCUCAUCUUUUUGUGGUAAAGUUUCAGUUAAAAAAUAAAAAAGACUC
Molecule: long non-coding RNA, 1623 nt
Organism: Myodes glareolus (Bank vole)
Lineage: Eukaryota; Metazoa; Chordata; Mammalia; Rodentia; Cricetidae
Source: RefSeq, a predicted model, not a curated record